This 87-nucleotide transfer RNA is filed under the name Candidatus Saccharimonadota bacterium. RNAcentral's name for it is "tRNA-Leu". It matches the Rfam family "tRNA". Rfam says of the family: Transfer RNA (tRNA) molecules are approximately 80 nucleotides in length. The record is from RNAcentral. Lineage: Bacteria; Candidatus Saccharimonadota.
GGGUUGGUGGCGGAAUUGGUAGACGCGCUAGACUCAAAAUCUUGUGAGCAUUUGCUCGUGGGGGUUCAAGUCCCCCCCGACCCACCA